Molecule: ribosomal RNA, 503 nt
Filed under: uncultured Helotiales
Lineage: Eukaryota; Fungi; Ascomycota; Leotiomycetes; Helotiales
Description: eukaryotic LSU rRNA
Rfam family: 5.8S ribosomal RNA (bases 143-296)
Source: RNAcentral
AUGGGUUCUAUUCCCAAACCGUGUAUACAUACCUUUGUUGCUUUGGCAGGCCGCCUUUUAGGCGUCGGCUCCGGCUGACUGCGCCUGCCAGAGGACCCAAACUCUUUUGUUUAGUGAUGUCUGAGUACUAUAUAAUAGUUAAAACUUUCAACAACGGAUCUCUUGGUUCUGGCAUCGAUGAAGAACGCAGCGAAAUGCGAUAAGUAAUGUGAAUUGCAGAAUUCAGUGAAUCAUCGAAUCUUUGAACGCACAUUGCGCCCCUUGGUAUUCCGAGGGGCAUGCCUGUUCGAGCGUCAUUAUAACCACUCAAGCCUCGGCUUGGUCUUGGGGUUCGCGGUCUCGCGGCCCUUAAAAUCAGUGGCGGUGCCGUCUGGCUCUAAGCGUAGUAAUUUUCUCGCUAUAGGGUCCAGGCGACCACCUGCCAUAACCCCCCAUUCUUUACGGUUGACCUCGGAUCAGGUAGGGAUACCCGCUGAACUUAAGCAUAUCAAUAAGGCGGAGGA